Molecule: long non-coding RNA, 1012 nt
Organism: Monodelphis domestica (gray short-tailed opossum)
Lineage: Eukaryota; Metazoa; Chordata; Mammalia; Didelphimorphia; Didelphidae
Source: Ensembl
AACCCCAUGCUCCAACAGCUAAUAAUCCUAACAUUGAAAAUGGAGCAAGUAGCCUAGAAACAGUAACACCAGAUAGUUUAGACAGAAGUUUAUUUCCAUUGAGGGAAGUACCCACCUUUAAUAAAGAAGGGAACUUGGUGCCUGUAAGACACUAUACACCUUUUAAACCUGAUGAUUUAGAAAAAUUCAAGCACAAUGUUCAAUCAUUUGAGGCAGAACCAAUGUUGGUUAUAGAAAAAUUAGAAAAUAUAUUCAGAAACUUUGACCCUUCUUGGUUGGAUGUGGAGAAUUUGUUAGAUACAUUUCUGACAAAGAGAGAGAAAAAUAAUGUCAUCUCUCUAGCUAAUAAGAAAAGUGGUAGAGGAGCUCAUCACUGGCCAACUGUAGAUCCACACUGGAACCCUAAUAUUGUACAGGAUCACACAAAACUAGCCCUGGCCAGAGAAGCAUUAUUAAAAGCCAUGAGAGACUGCUCUGAUAGCCCUGAUGCAUGGGAAAAAUUUGAACAAUCCCGGCAGGAAAUUAAUGAGACCCCCUCCCACUUUAUGGACAGACUUAUUGACGUAGGAAGUACAUAUAUGGACCUUGAUUUGUCCAGAGAAAAAGACAUUAAACAUAUACGCAGACAAUUCGUUAGGAAUUGUUGUUCAGCAGUAAAAGACUACUUUGAAACCAACUGUCCCAACUGGGAGUCUAUGGACCUCGAAGAACUGAGGAAAGUAGCAACAUAUGCCUAUAAGAAUCGUACAAAAAAACCUGAAACACACAAUAAAUCAGUGUCAGACUUAGAAAAAGAAAUUGAAAUUUUAAAGGAACAAUUGAAAAGUAAGGGAGAGACCAUGGCCCCUUUGCAGGAAUCCACAGAUAGAUCAUUAACAAACCCCUUAAUAUGCCUCUUCUGUGGGAAGAGAGGCCAUGCAAUGAUAGUCUGUAGGAGCAGACUACGGGAAACAAGAAAUAACACCUUUAGGAAUAAUAAAUAUAGGAACCACAAUGCCAAUAAAAAUGACGA